Molecule: ribosomal RNA, 377 nt
Filed under: uncultured organism
Description: partial 16S ribosomal RNA
Rfam family: Bacterial small subunit ribosomal RNA
Source: RNAcentral
GUAGGUGGCAAGCGUUGUCCGGAAUUAUUGGGCGUAAAGCGCGCGCAGGCGGCUCUUUAAGUCUGAUGUGAAAGCCCACGGCUCAACCGUGGAGGGUCAUUGGAAACUGGAGAACUUGAGUACAGAAGAGGAAAGCGGAAUUCCACGUGUAGCGGUGAAAUGCGUAGAGAUGUGGUGGAACACCAGUGGCGAAGGCGGCUUUCUGGUCUGUAACUGACGCUGAGGCGCGAAAGCGUGGGGGGAGCAAACAGGAUUAGAUACCCUGGUAGUCCACGCCGUAAACGAUGAGUGCUAAGUGUUAGGGGGUUUCCGCCCCCCCCUUAGUGCUGCAGCUAACGCAUUAAGCACUCCGCCUGGGGAGUACGGCCGCAAGGCUG